AUUGAACGCUGGCGGCAUGCUUUACACAUGCAAGUCGAACGGUAACAGGUUAAGCUGACGAGUGGCGAACGGGUGAGUAAUGCAUCGGAACGUGCCCGAUCGUGGGGGAUAACGCAGCGAAAGCUGCGCUAAUACCGCAUGCGAUCUGAGGAUGAAAGCGGGGGACCGUAAGGCCUCGCGCGAUCGGAGCGGCCGAUGUCAGAUUAGGUAGUUGGUGGGGUAAAGGCUCACCAAGCCAACGAUCUGUAGCUGGUCUGAGAGGACGACCAGCCACACUGGGACUGAGACACGGCCCAGACUCCUACGGGAGGCAGCAGUGGGGAAUUUUGGACAAUGGGCGAAAGCCUGAUCCAGCAAUGCCGCGUGCAGGAAGAAGGCCUUCGGGUUGUAAACUGCUUUUGUACGGAGCGAAAAAGCUCUCUCUAAUACAGGGGGCUCAUGACGGUACCGUAAGAAUAAGCACCGGCUAACUACGUGCCAGCAGCCGCGGUAA
This 493-nucleotide ribosomal RNA is filed under the name uncultured bacterium. RNAcentral describes it as "partial 16S ribosomal RNA". It matches the Rfam family "Bacterial small subunit ribosomal RNA", at positions 29 to 523 of the family's 1533-position model. The record is from RNAcentral.